CAACAAUUAAUGCUUUUGAUGGAAUUAUUCUUGUCUCUACUCCCGAUAUAUUUUAUGUCUUGUAUCUUAAGGUUGAUAAAGUGAAUGCCUUUUGUCUCUUCUGCCUUAGCACCAAUCUCCAAUGAAUAAAUAAUGGAACUGUGGCUUAGUUGUUGAACCCAUUAGCCCCCCAUCCCUCCUAACUUUGCAUAUCUUUCUCUUAUAUUUAUUUUUGGAUUUGAACUCAUAACUUUACGGUUUUACAGAUCACUCCAUUGAUCUUAUCGGUUGCCGAUCUUCUUUCCAGCUGCUAAUACUUGUUUAUUUUUCCUCCAGAUGACAGUGUAUGCCAAAGGGGUAUCAGUGUUGAUGCCAGGAGAGGAUGUUCCUACUUUCCUUGCACACCCAACUCCUGCACCUUGCUCUCCUGAGCACAUCAUAAAGCCAUUUCAUCAACACAGUCCUUGGCCUCAACUUCAAGCUGAAAACCUAACGUCAUGACAGAAAAUUAAGACAAACGAACUGGAGAA
RNAcentral lists this unclassified non-coding RNA (509 nucleotides) under Hevea brasiliensis (rubber tree). Lineage: Eukaryota; Viridiplantae; Streptophyta; Magnoliopsida; Malpighiales; Euphorbiaceae. The record is from RNAcentral.